GAUGAACGCUGGCGGCGUGCCUAAUACAUGCAAGUCGAGCGAACGGGCGAGAAGCUUGCUUCUCUGAUGUUAGCGGCGGACGGGUGAGUAACACGUGGAUAACCUACCUAUAAGACUGGGAUAACUUCGGGAAACCGGAGCUAAUACCGGAUGAUAUUUUGAACCGCAUGGUUCAAAAGUGAAAGACGGUCUUGCUGUCACUUAUAGAUGGAUCCGCGCUGCAUUAGCUAGUUGGUAAGGUAACGGCUUACCAAGGCAACGAUGCAUAGACGACCUGAGAGGGUGAUCGGCCACACUGGAACUGAGACACGGUCCAGACUCCUACGGGAGGCAGCAGUAGGGAAUCUUCCGCAAUGGGCGAAAGCCUGACGGAGCAACGCCGCGUGAGUGAUGAAGGUCUUCGGAUCGUAAAACUCUGUUAUUAGGGAAGAACAUAUGUGUAAGUAACUGUGCACAUCUUGACGGUACCUAAUCAGAAAGCCACGGCUAACUACGUG
RNAcentral lists this ribosomal RNA (497 nucleotides) under uncultured bacterium. Its description in RNAcentral is "partial 16S ribosomal RNA". It matches the Rfam family "Bacterial small subunit ribosomal RNA", at positions 28 to 507 of the family's 1533-position model. The record is from RNAcentral.